GGUAGCUUAAUUUGUUUGCUCAAA
RNAcentral lists this non-coding RNA (24 nucleotides) under Arabidopsis thaliana (thale cress). The record is from RNAcentral. Lineage: Eukaryota; Viridiplantae; Streptophyta; Magnoliopsida; Brassicales; Brassicaceae.